Molecule: transfer RNA, 69 nt
Filed under: Erromyzon kalotaenia
Lineage: Eukaryota; Metazoa; Chordata; Actinopteri; Cypriniformes; Gastromyzontidae
Also listed under: 1 other name
Description: tRNA-Ala
Rfam family: tRNA
About the family: Transfer RNA (tRNA) molecules are approximately 80 nucleotides in length.
Source: RNAcentral
AAGGCUUUAGCUUAAUUAAAGUGUCUGAUUUGCAUUCGGAAGAUGUGGGAUAAAGUCCCGCAAGUCUUA